Molecule: RNA transcript, 2876 nt
Organism: Acanthopagrus latus (yellowfin seabream)
Lineage: Eukaryota; Metazoa; Chordata; Actinopteri; Spariformes; Sparidae
Gene name: forkhead box protein B1-like
Exons: 5
Source: RefSeq, a predicted model, not a curated record
AUCUCAAAAAAACUAAAUAAAGUUGUCUUCGUCUUAAAGCAAUUAUUAUUGUUUUAGUCUUAAUUCGCGCGCUUAAAAAUACAUAAAAAUGCUUAAUCUCUCAUGAUCGUUUCGACUGCUCCCCCCUCCCCUCUCAUGCAAUGGACUAUUCCAUGUUACUGCGCAUGUGCAGUCGUGAUUCAGGAAGACGGUAGCAAAACAAACUAGUUGGCGCGUUUUUGAGCUGAAAACUACUAGUUACGCUAGUGGAGCGGAGAAGAGGAGAAGAGGAGAAGAGGAGAAGGAGAGAAGAGGAGAAGGAGAGAGGACAGAGGACAGAGGACAGCAAACUGUUUUUGGUUUUUUUUAUCAAAACUACCAAAGGAGUCAACUUUGUUUCCCAGUGACACCGAAUGUAGCCGCAGGUCCUCGACAACAGCAAGAGCCAGAAGCUGCUGUCAGUAGCACCGCUGUCAGUGUCAGCCGAGGAGGAGAUGAAGCGGAGAGAGACACAGGGACGCUUUUCAUCACAAACAUUGCAGAGAGAGACCUGCAGAACCCGCUGAGACUCUGACACAUCCGAGGAACAGGAAACAUCUGAUUGGUCGGACCCUCAGCAGAGACCACAGACCAGCUGACGGCUGCAGCAGGACCGAGAUACCUGGGCAACACCUGCAGGAUGAGACAGAUUUCACGUUCUUCAUCUGGAGGCAGAUCAACCCAACGACACCGAGAUUCUUCUGUGGCAGCAGCUGAAUGAUGGAGGAGGUGGAGAGCCCUGAGAGUGCCUCAGUGUGCCAAUCAGACGCUGUUGUUUUCUUCUUCGGGUGGAGUCGGCAGGUCGUGUUGUCGUUGACUCUGCAGGAUGUGACAUUAAUGAGGUUCCUCUCGCUCCGUGGUUCUGGAGCAGAUGAAUCUGUGGAAGCAGAAAAUCAGUGUAAGAAUCCUGGAGAAGUGUGAGCGGGCGGCGCCGCUGCCUCUCGGACCGGCUGCUCACAUCUAUCAGCAGAGCUCAUUCACACCCAGUCCAAACCGGUACCGCCUGAAAAACAGCCAUAAUUUAGUCCGUCCUUAUGUAUUUAUCAAGAUGAAUAAUCAGGAUGAAGAAGCCCCCCCGCCCGGCGCCAGAGCCGAGGAUCCGUCAGCGCCGGUCGCUCCGCCACAUCAAUAUUCAGACGAUCAGCGGCCCAUGAGUAAACAGAAAGAAGCGCUGGCCUCGGCAUAUUUAAAACGCAGCCAUUUUAGCGCGGCGCUAUUAACCGAUCUGCCCGUUAUUUAUUUCCUUCCUUGUUAUUAACGCCGGACGUGAUAUUAUUCUAAUUAUAUCAGGCCCAAUCAGCAGUACUGCCCGUCUCUGGCUCAUUUCCAUUAGCUUUGUCUUUCACACUGUGAUACUAAUUCAACGAGACAUCAAACAUGUAAAUGGAUCCGAGCUGCAGAGGUCAGGAGGGUUUUCCUCUCCGAGUCUCUGCGCUCUGUUAUCGCUGCGAUGUAAUUGUGUUUGUCCCCCGCCGGAUGACUGAUCGUCCCGCGCUGCGUCCCGUCAGAUCAACGGCACACUAAUAUGUUAGUUUGCUCUCUAAUGCUAAUAUGUGUUUUGUUGUGGACGAGGAUCCGCCGGACUCAAGUGUCUGUCUCACACAGUCGCAGGACGACAAGAGGACGGACAGAAGAGACGAGACAGUGAUGGACAGGAGGGAAGACACGAGAGGACAGAGACAACAACAGAGGACGUGAUAGAGACGAGGAUGUUGGUGACGGGACAACAGAGGACAGGGACAAAACAUGAGAUGAUGAAGAGAACAACAAGAUAGGAAGACACAGAGGACGACACUAAGAGAUGUCAUGGAAGACAAGUGAAGAUGAUAAGAAGAACGGCAUGAGGCCGCAGGACAGACAGCAAAACAAGGGACAGACAGCAUUAAACAGAACGUGGGCGAGGGACAACAAGACAGAGGAGAGAAGACACAAGAGGACAGAAAAAGACAUGACGAGACAAAGAUGGUGGCGAAGGCACAACAGAGGACAACAUGGGACGGGACGAGACUAAAGGGAGAGCAACACAGAACAGAGAGAAGACAGAUGAUACGGAGGACAUCAAAUCAAUGAUGGGAAGACAGCAAGAGGACAGGGAAACAGACAGAGAGGUGAAACAAGAUGACAAAGAAAAGAGACGGACAUCAACUCCACAUGAUGAGGACAACAACAAACUGGGACACAAAACAAGAAAUGACAGAGUGGAAGACACAGGACAGCAGUGAGGACAACAUGAAGACAGACAAGAAACUAAUGGACGCCAUGAGACGAUUGUGAGGACACGACAAGGACGAUAACACAAGAUGACGACGAGGACAUUUGAAGACACACAAUACAUGUUGUUGUCCAACUGUUUGACCCGAUGAAUAAACAGGUGAAUCAGCUAAUGAGCUGCUAACAUCCGUGUACCAAAGAGCUAACCGCUAACACAGAGCUAACCGCUAACACAGAGCUAACCGCUAACACAGAGCUAACUGCUAACACAGAGCUAACUGCUAACAGAGUGACUCUUCUUUUUUUAUCAGUUUACCUCGAUGAACAAAGGAUAAAUUACACUUUUCAUGAAUUGGACUUGAAUACCUUUAAGUGGUACUGUGUGUGCAUGUGUGUGUGCAUGUGUGUGUGCAUGUGUGUGUGCGUGUGUGUGGAGGUGGAGGAGGAGUCUGGAUAAUAGUAUUUAAUUUAUCACUUAAAGUGCUGGGCGACCUCUGGGCGUCCCGGCGCCUCCAUCACCUCCUCAGCUGCUCCCUUUAAUUGUCGGGGCUGAGAGAGUAAAUGAAAAUCAACCGGCCUCAUAAUGAAUGGAGGCCAUUACCACACACACACACACACACACAGGCAAGCACGCACGCACACACACA